CUCAGCCUGGGGCACGCCCUUCCUGAGCGCCGCCUGUUCUCUUGGCCAGCUCCUCACGCUCAGACAGAGCUGGCUGUUGUCUCCUGAGGGUGUUGGUGCUGGGAGCCACCACCAACAUCACCCCUGUGGCGAAGUGCGGGGUUCCGGGCAGCCUGGAGCAUUCCUGGGCUUUUUUCCCUUGUGAGCCUCCCCACAGCAGGCAGAGGACGGCCACAGGAGCCAAGUCUGUGGUAGUGGUGGCCUUGGUGGCCUGUCCUGCCCACUUUUUGUGGCUGUUCUGGGUCCAGCCGUGCAGUUGAUGUCUGCUGGGCAUUACACCAGUCCCUGGGAGUGUCCGUGUCAGGUGGAACCCACUGCCUCGCUGCCAGCACCUGCAGGGUAAAAGGACCCAUCUGGAUGCUCCUCCUCUGCCGGGUGAAGGAGACCUGGCAAGCCCAGUGCUGGGGCUGUGGGGAGCACUCAGAGCAGUGCCCGUGGGGGUUUGUCAGCUCCUGCUCACCUGGACAUGGCUGGGCAGAGAGGAGGGCUGGCCCUGCCCCUGCUCUGGCCGCUGCUGCUGCUGCUGCUGCUGAGCCUCGCCUGCCUCGCCGUGCUGCACCUGGCUCUGGAAACCACCGCCAUGGGUGUGACAGCAACUGUGUCUCCAGCUCUCCUUACCUCCUCAACACCCAUGGAGAGCUCAACACUGCUGCCUACCACUGACUCCACCACCACAGACACCCUCCUUUCCUCCAGCCCUGAAACAGAAGCCUCCACCCCAGAGGAGUCCAGCACAUCCGCAGAGACUGGCAACACCUCACCUCCCACUGUGCUUCCUCCCACCACAACUACAGAAGAUUCAUCAGAAUCUACAGAAGAGUCCUUGGCAACCCUGGCAGAUACAACAGCCAGCCCUGUCAUCAGCACAUCAAACCCCACGAGCUCUCCCUCUUCAAGCUACCCAGGCAGGACCACUCCUGACAUCUUCCCCUCAACUGUGGAGUUGACUCCAGGCACUGAGCCCUCUUCCCCUGCCACCAGCUCAGCCCAGACCUCAGAGGCUACUACCCUCAGCACGCCUGCAGAGCUGCCAACACUGCCGCCAGUCUGCCCCUCUGGCUCAUCCAACACCAGUGCAUCUUACCUCUUUCUGUCGCUGCGGCUAACCACCCCUCUGGACCUGGGGAACACCACGGUGCAGGAGCUGGUGUUGUCCAAGGUGAGGUGUGCAGGAGGAGAUCCCACUCUGUAUCUGCCAGCUGUGGUUGACCCAGGGAGGGGAAUGGCUGCAUCUUACGUUGAAUGCCAUCCAGAGCUCUUUCAGAUGAAGGGGAGACCCUCCUUUGGCUGCCAUAGUCCAGGAUAAGGCCCUUUCUAUGUGGGGACAGUGGGUUGGAAGCCCCUCUGGCACAGUUUGAUGGCUGUUCUUUGCCCCCAGCUCCGUGAGGACCUGCAGACAGCGUUCCCGUGUGCUGGCCUGUCACUGGCAUGGCGAGGGAAGAGGAGGACCUGACCGCUGCCCCUCGCCUGGCCUGCUCCCACCUGGACUGCCCAGCCACCCGCUCCCAGCUCCUCACUCCAUGGUGGUGCAGGCCCCUGGGGAAUCCCACACAGCUCCUCUUGAACCUGGGCUUCCUGUCCUUCACUCUGUUCCCCCAGUCCCCUCCUGCCCCUUCCCACAGCCUGUCUGAAGAGCCCGUGCCCUCCCACCACCCUGCUCCAGACCUGGUUCCUGUGGUGGGACCCCUCCAGCUCUGCUGCAAGGCUGGAAGAAGGGGACCCCACGGGACUGGGCUUUUGCAUCUGGGACUGAUGGCUCAGCCAUCAAAGCCACCCUGGGGACAGAGAAAUGAGAGGAAGGAGACCUGAAGCCCCCAGUACUGCUGUUCCCAAGGCUCACCUGCAAUAUUGCUGACAGACGAGAACACCUGUGGUGGGCAGUAAAUAGAAAUUCCAUGUUUUCUGUGUUGAAACGAUGACUUCUUUUUUCAGUUUUCCAAGUUGCCUUUCCGAAUUUUCAGCUUUGUCAUCUGUUGGAGGUACUGGUGAGGAAAAUUGGGUCCCCAGAGCUUUGUGUGGAGAGCUGGGCUCAGUGCUGUCCCCUCCCACCAGGGGCUGCUGCAGACAUUCCCAAAGAUGGCUCGGCACCCCGGCAGACUGAUGGUCUCUGCUUUGGAGCUCUCUGCCCCAUAACACCCCACAGCUGC
Molecule: long non-coding RNA, 2186 nt
Organism: Lonchura striata (white-rumped munia)
Lineage: Eukaryota; Metazoa; Chordata; Aves; Passeriformes; Estrildidae
Source: Ensembl